UAUCAUUCAUUUAGCUUUUUAUAGGCGGUGUAUGUACAUGUCCAGUAAGAGACAUUGAAUAGCUUUCCCAUGGCAGGUAGUGACAGAUGCGCGUGGGUCUCCCAGUUAGGCCGGCAGAUGUCAGCCCCCGAAGUUACAUGCAGCUAGCUAUCCUAAAACAAACGUUCACUUGGAACAAACUUGCGAUGCUACAGUGGCCACUCGGUUUCUUCGCCGCAUCCUAUCUGUCCCCACUCGGAUGUUUGAUCCAGGAAAUUGUGAAUGUGUAAACUGCAGUGAAUUGGUGCACCAUCCUGCUGGAGGAUCACAUUUGGCUGGAAUGGAAGAAGCUGAGGGACAGCAAAUUUCUCAAGCACAUCCAGAUAAACAGUUCUCAUUACUAUUUCCUUGCUGCAGAAAAAUGGUCCAACUGUACUAUCUUUCAUGAUUGCAUGCCUCAGAUUCAUCUUCUCCUGUCUAUGACACAUUCUCAGAAACUGUAGGGGGACUUUUGGAACCUGAGAUGUGAAUGUUGUAACGAUUUACGGAAAUUUGCUUCGUAGGAGAAAAUCUGCUUCCCAUACAUUUGGGAUGUUGUUUGAACUGGUGCAACAUCUAAACAGCAAAUGUGAAUAGCCAUUUCGCUUUGAUGCUUGCACAAUUUGAAGUCCGUAAGUGUGCAGGUAGAGUUGUUUAUGCAGCCCCUCACGGACUACUGAGUGAGGGGUGUUUAGCUCUCAUGAGGCUCGGUGCACUGACUUUGAUGGGUUUCUUUGGAAGGUCCCUUUCAAACAUUCCACCAGAUGUGCCUUUUCUGCUGGAACCUGAGUUUCUGUUUACUCUCAGUGGUACAAACUAAACAUACCGAGCCUCAGUUAUCUUCACGUCUGGCAGCUUCCUUUGAAAUCCGUGACAAAACUUUCUUUGAACACAAUGUGCGAUUUCAUUUCUGCAUGCCACACCAUGAUCUUGAGGUGCAGUCAUUUCUGGUAAUUAUUCAGCAACUGAAACAAAAUUAAAAGAAUUUUUCAGAGAAAGGUAUAUAAGGUAUAUAAGACAUUUUGAGUUGCUUUUAAUGAUUCUGCAAGUUGUGCAAGUAUCUCUGCCUCAUAGUUCUAUUUAUUUAUUUUUAAAUAGCAGUUGGAAAUCAGUAAAAUAUCAUGUGGACACCCUGUAUAUCAAAUUUUUGCCACUGGAGAAUGUACCAAGAAAUGGAACUGAGGAAGCCUUUGAAACACACAGGGUGUGACAACACUCUUAUUUGGUUGCCUGGUGCAUAUUCUUCCAUGCACAGUAGUGCCGAUAGUUGCCCAUCUCUACCCUGAGUGUCUAAAUUAAAACAGUGUAAAUGCUAUCCUUGAUGCAGCCCUAGGAGAAAGAAUUUAAGUGUGUAACAUCUGGGGCGCGUGGUUGUCACAGCAGGACAGGCUCCUCCCAUCCACAGCCCUAAAGGAAUUGGCACAGUACGGUGGUACAUGGAGGCAUUACUUUCACAGUAAUCGAAUUACACUUUCCUUUUAAGCUGUCAUAGAUUGACAUUGUACUGUAUCUUUUCCUGUCUCAUGCUAAUCUCCUCCUCUCCACCUAAAGGCUGCACCCAAAAUCCUCUGUAGUGUGUUUCACAUUUUCUAGUCUCUGUCUUCACCAACUAUUUUUCCCCCUCUGCUGUUCAUUAUAGCUCUGAGUAAACUAUACUGUAGCAGACAUCCCACAAAUCUGUCUAUAUAGAUUUGUUCCCUCACCUGUUGUUUUUAGCACUUUGUAAUUUUGUACUCCACUUGCCAAUUUAUUUCUUUACCAUUGCUAGAGUCCUCAUUUUGCAUAUUUCCCCUUUUUGCUUCUCCUUAUUACCAGGUGCCCACAUUUUGCUCCCAUACCAUGCUCUGCUUCGUAUGUACACUUUCAUGAACUGGGUCUUCAUUUCAGUACAGGCACACAGUACUGGUAGAGUGCUCUUAUCAGAGAAAGCUGUCUUCACCUGUUCCGAUCUACUCCUGAAGUCUUCCUCACUUGGCCAUCCUGCGUGAUCUCUCUUCCUAAGCGGGACAAUUCUCUCACCUAUUCCAUUGCCAUCAUUCCGGCUCCAGUUGUUAACUGAAAGAGGAUCUGUAUAGUCAAUCUCUCAAGUAUGCAUAGAUCGCCUACAUAAUCAAACAACAAAGGAAAGAUUAUUUUUAUUGUAAUUUGUUCCCCUUCAUUAUUUGAACAAUACAAGAAACUGUUUGUCUUAGACUUUAAUAUUUGGACAUCAGGGAGACCACUGAUUGAUCAAAAAAUGCACAAUAACCUUUGUCUAAACUCAUCUGUACUUGUAUUAGUAUUGAUUUUAAUUUAUGCUUGAAUCUGUUUCAUUGUUACCUGUAGCAAAGGCUUCUUGUCCAAUACAAUAUCCUAUAACACUAAGAUUCUCUUUAACACUACGAAGGAAUUGGUCCUUUCCUUUAUUCAUGUCACAAGUACUGUUUAAAACAGAUAUCGAAUAAAAAGAAUAUUAAAUGUACGUGGAUAAAUUAAUCGAUUGACAGUUAUAAACUAAGAAAUUAAGACAGAAUGAUAUAAAGUGCUACAUAGAAUAUAACUGGACAUAAUCAAAUAAAUAUUUUCACCGAGUACAAUAUUUAUAUGAGUUGUGGCCAGUAUUUCACUACUGUGAUGUGCACCCCCCCCCCCUCCCCCCCCCCCCCCCCAAAUUGUGACUGGGUGGCAAUUCUUCUCCAGUUUUGGUACAUUCUGAAUGACUGGGAUUUUCUGCUUCUGUAGGUCGGCCCUGGAUUUUGUUGACUGUGACAGAAGUGGAGCAGCAGACUGUAAAAAACACUUCCUGGACUUGUAGAUGAAAUAAGCCAACAUGUUCCAGACCUUUUGUGUCUCUGUGUUAGCAGCCACUUCACAUCUGAAAUUGUGCAGGGUGAAUAUUACUUCCAUGUAUACUGUGUGUAUGUUUCUUGCCAUCAGCUAUUAAAAUGCAAUAGCUGCAAAUCUGAUGCAGUGUAUAGGGAUUAAACACCAGGUGUUUUUCCUUUGGAUGUCAAUGAAAAGAUUAAAUAAAAAAUAAGGGGGUAAUGACCACCCUUGUCUUAUUCCUUUUCUAAUUUGAUCGAGGCAGAGUUUACACUAAAAUCUAAUUUUAUAUAUUCUGUGUGACGAGUAAAUGAUUAACAAAUGUUCGAGAGAGCUGAUCUCAAACCAAUUACUAAAAUUUUUAUUGCACAGACUGCAGUAAAAUGCUGUUCCUCCCCUAUUGUUAAUAGAAGGAAAGGGGGAAAAGACCGUAAACACACUGCAGCAAGCACCGCAAUGCCUCAAGGUGGCCAGCCCCAUGUGUGGGCUAACUGAUUUCUGCUGUGGAUCCUCACAUUAGUGUUUGCAGAACACUUGUAAAGAGUACAAAACAUUGGGCCCAAAGUCACCAUAUUUAACACAUUUGUAACUUACUUCCUAACCUUCACAUGAAUGCGACACAUGGAGCGACAGAUCUGCGUCUGUAUGCUGCAAACUCAUUAUACUAGUUAUUAGGUCUUCUUCAAGAAAAAAAGACUGCUUAAACGCCUCCAUGUACACAGUAAGUAGUCUGAUCUCCUCUUCGUGGUACCUGAGGGAGCAAUAGGUUGACAGUUAUACUGCAUUGCUAGAUUCUUUGCUCAGAGCUGGUUUUGUCGAAACUAUGUACGUAGGAUUUCUCGGGACAGUUCGUGUCUAUCUUCGAGAGGGUGCCAGUUCAGUUUCUUUGGCAUCUUUGUGACACUUUCUUGUGAAUCAAACAGAUCUGUGACCAUUUGUGCUGCCCUUUUCUGUAUCGUUAAAUGUCCCACAUCAAUCGUGUUUGGUACAGGUCCCACAGACUUGAGUGACAUCCUAAAAUGGGUCGCAUGAGUGUUUUCUAGAUUGACUUUAUUCCCCCAGUACUCCUAACAAUGAACCAAAAUUUGCUGCCUGCUUCACAUCCAACUGUGCAUAUGUCGUCAUCCCAUUUUGUAUCUCUAUAAAGUGUAACAGCCACAUACUUGUACGAGUUGACUAAUUCCGAUUGUGUCUCGUUAGUGCUGGAGUCGUAUGAUACUAUAUUUCUUUGUUUAACAGCGUGCCCAAUUUUACAUUUCUCAACAUUUAAAGCAAGUCACCAACCUUCACACCGCUUUGAGGUCUUAUCUAGAUCUGACUGCACAUUUUUGCACUGAGACAGCUUUUACUCCAUUGCAUUUUCUCUGGACUGUGUGGCCUUUGUGUUUGCAGGAGCUGCAUCUUCAUAUUAUGUUUGUUCAUUUGUUUCCCAUCACUCUCUGUUCCUUUACACCAAUGUCAAUAAAUAACACACAGGAUAUGAGCUCUUCCCUGAAAACAUACUGACUGUUCACAAACCAGCAGUGGAGUUCUGAUUUAACUUUCAAACUGCACCAAGUUCCUACAUUUUUCGUGAGGCUUUUACCUACUUUAUAUCUCCAAUAAUGCUUGUGUGAAAUAGUGCCAUGUUAUCUGUAACUGUUACUUGUCGAUAUGCUCUUUGCGCUAUUGUAUUUACGGGAGCAUUUUCCGUGCCCACUCUUGUAUUUGAUAUUAGUUUGUAAGAAAAUGUAUUACAUAAAAUUUCUUGGAAUGUAAAGAAGUGAAUGAAAUGAAAUGCGAGAUAUGUAAGCUGUUAUUGUAAAUGUUGUAGUGAUGAGGAGUGGAAACAAAUCAUUGUGAAGAAAUUAAAAUUGUUUCCUCUUGUGCAGAUAAUAUCUGCCUGCUUGUAAUGUUCAGUUAUAAAAUAGUUCAGAGGAGGAUUCAAAGUCUGAUAUGACAUGUUGACUGUUUUUACUUUACUCAGCAACUGCUUAUUUAUCAGCAAAUCUUUUACAUUGAAUGUUUGAUUUUUUUAAAUUCUAUGUGAAUUUUAGGAUUUACAUUGAAGGGGUUGAUGGAAGGUAGAGCUAACCCUCAAUUUAGGAAGGAUUAGUGUGGACAUGUUAUCUAUUGUAUAUACAAAUGCCUCAAACUUGUAACAACUAAAUUACAGAUGAGUGACUAGUAAGAACUGUAUUCUAUAUAAAUUGUUUUGUAUUACUGCAGUUGAAUACUUGUUUUUUUUUUUUUUUAAACUAGCUUGUUUUUUUAUUAUUAUUUUUACUUUGUAUAUAACAUGAAAUAACUGAACAUGUGCUCUUAUGGGUUGGGAAUUCUUCUGCUGAUUACUUCAGUUGCCUGGUAUUUUAUUGUUUAUUAUUUCAUUUUUAACAGAAAGAGCAUAAGUGGUGGUAGAAAAGAAACAUAAAACACUUUUACAUAUAUUGUUUAUGGGUGUUGCUUGUCAGCAAAUGUACUAUAUUGACUUUCUUUAAAAAAAAAAUGUAAACUUAAAUGUUAUAAAUUUUUGGAUUUUUCUUUAGAGUGCAUCAAGAAUGGAAUUGUCAGUUCUAAAAACACAGUGUAAAGUGGAUGAUAAGACUGGUACUGUGAAACCAAAUUCCUGUCAGCAGCACACCACAGCUUUCAGCUGGAAUGUUACUGUAUUAGUUGAGAUUAUUAACUUGUGUUGCAUUUGGGCUUGUGUACCAAUACAGAAAUUGAUAGAGAUUAGUCCAACUGUGAUGAAGUGAUGGUAUGAAAAAAACUCAGGUAACUGGAUGACAAACCAAGUAAUUGUUUGUUUAGUAUCGUAUAUUCUUGUACAGAUUUCUGUGUGGUUAGAAAACUGUAAGUGGAUGUAUGUUGAAAACAUUACUCCCACUGACAGUGAUGAAAGUGAAAACUCAUAGGAAUUUUUUUUCUUUUCUUUACUUUCAUAAUGAAACAAUUGUAAUCACAACAAAUGUAUGCCUAGAACAGCAGUGGCUCCAAGAUGCAGCAGAUAUAUUUCAGAUUUGAUUCUGUUCUUGUCCAAAACAGUGUUAUGUGUAGAUAAAAGAUAGUUAUGAUGUCAAAAUUUGAAAUACAUUAUUGUAUGUUACUGUAUGUAACUUACAUCCCACAAUAUUUAACACUGAAAGUAUAUUUUUGGAAUGUU
Schistocerca cancellata (South American locust) is the source of this 5962-nucleotide long non-coding RNA. RefSeq lists it as uncharacterized. NCBI's taxonomy places the organism in Eukaryota, Metazoa, Arthropoda, Insecta, Orthoptera, Acrididae. The transcript is spliced from 2 exons. The record is from RefSeq and is a predicted model, not a curated record.